GAAAUUGUCGUCCUCGGCGGCCAGCAGCGCAGCGAUGAAGUCCUGGGGGAUGUCAUCGAAGGCGAUCGGGGUGCGGCGCAUUUCUCCGAAUUGUGCGAUCAGCUUGGCAUCGCUGCUGUAGACACGCAGCGGGAUCUGUAGCUGGAUGCUACGCAGGGAUUCGACGGAUGGAAGAGAGGGGCUCAGGUAAAGAAAAGCCCCGCUGAGGCUGAGCAACAGUCCGCAGAAAACAGCGAAACACGACCAAAGGAAAAACUUCAGGAAACGCAUUGGGGUUUUUGAAU
RNAcentral lists this antisense RNA (284 nucleotides) under Stutzerimonas nitrititolerans. RNAcentral's name for it is "anti ponA RNA". It matches the Rfam family "anti ponA RNA". Rfam says of the family: Transcribed antisense to the penicillin-binding protein 1A gene called ponA. It was identified by RNAseq and the expression was validated by 5' and 3' RACE experiments. Lineage: Bacteria; Pseudomonadati; Pseudomonadota; Gammaproteobacteria; Pseudomonadales; Pseudomonadaceae. The record is from RNAcentral.